AGGCAUUUUCGGUGGCCAG
Molecule: microRNA, 19 nt
Filed under: Zea mays
Lineage: Eukaryota; Viridiplantae; Streptophyta; Magnoliopsida; Poales; Poaceae
Description: microRNA miR-3179
Source: RNAcentral